UGUAGGAGCCGGCUUGCUGGCGAUGGCAUCAUCGCGGUUUACCUGCAACACCGCGGUGAUGCCAUCGCCAGCAAGCCGGCUCCUACA
Molecule: unclassified non-coding RNA, 87 nt
Filed under: Pseudomonas migulae
Lineage: Bacteria; Pseudomonadati; Pseudomonadota; Gammaproteobacteria; Pseudomonadales; Pseudomonadaceae
Source: RNAcentral